AGGAGGGGAAUAGAGAGAGAGAGGAUUGGGGGGGGCGGAGAUAUUGGGGAGGCACGUGGGAGAGGGGGCAGUGCUAAAUCAGGCAAGAAAAUGAAGAAGAGUUUGCGGGUUGAUUGAUUAAAUCUCAGCCAGCAGACAAAAAAGAAAACAAAGGACCCUGAGAUUUGACAUUUUGACAAGAUGUAACAUUGCACCAUAACCUAAUAAAGGCAAAAGCAAUCAAAGCAAGCAACACCACCACCAACCUAAUUUUACUCUUUCACUGCCCAGUCAUUCAAUUUUGAUUCCCUCUAUCUUACUUUAUUUUACCCCCUCCCCUCUUCUUUCAUUUUCU
Molecule: long non-coding RNA, 334 nt
Filed under: Ricinus communis (castor bean)
Lineage: Eukaryota; Viridiplantae; Streptophyta; Magnoliopsida; Malpighiales; Euphorbiaceae
Description: long non-coding RNA (RCOM_LNC003102)
Source: RNAcentral